UAGGUGAUUUGGCUGGAGAGAAAUGUUAGGGCCUUCAAGGAUGGAUACAAAGCCUUGAGAUCACUACAGGAUUCAGUCUUCUUUCUUUCCUAGUCAUGGACCCCAUCUUCUCCAAUGUUUUAGGAGAUUUCGAUGAGUCCGUUUUGUUUGAAUAGGUGAUCUGCUUGUUCUUCUAGCAAGAGGCUCUUGGAGGUUCAUGCAAAGUGGAACCCUCCUCUGGCAGGUUACCUCAAGUUAAAUUUUGAUGACUGCUCUUUGUAUAUAAUCCAUGACAUCUUGAGACUAGAGGGGUCUUCAGAGACCAUAGGUUAGGGGUCUUUUCCAAGUCUGCAGGAGAGGGAUUAGCUAUUGAGGCCAAGAUUCUUGUUCAAUUUAAAGGUGUAAC
RNAcentral lists this long non-coding RNA (385 nucleotides) under Vitis vinifera (wine grape). RNAcentral describes it as "long non-coding RNA (VVIN_LNC008194)". The record is from RNAcentral. Lineage: Eukaryota; Viridiplantae; Streptophyta; Magnoliopsida; Vitales; Vitaceae.